GUUAAAAAGCUCGUAGUUGGAUCUCGGCAAACGGGGGCGGUUCGUUAUUUGACGGUACUGCCCCAUUUGUUCGUAUUUUUGCAAGAGGGUUGGGGGUCCCCUUUGUUGGGUGUCUCCGGUCGCUUGCAGGUUUACUUUGAAAAAAUUAGAGUGCUCAAAGCAGGCUUACACGCUUGAAUAUUCGUGCAUGGAAUAAUAGAAUAGGAAGUCGUUUCUAUUUUGUUGGUUUUCGGAAAAUGACUUAAUGAUUAAUAGGGACAAUCGGGGGCAUUAGUAUUCAAACGACAGAGGUGAAAUUCUUGGACCGUUUGAAGACUAACUACUGCGAAAGCAUUUGCCAAGAGUGUUUUCAUUAAUCAAGAACGAAAGUUAGAGGUUCGAAGGCGAUCAGAUACCGCCCUAGUUCUACCAUAACGAUGCCGCU
This 424-nucleotide ribosomal RNA is filed under the name uncultured eukaryote. Its description in RNAcentral is "SSU rRNA". It matches the Rfam family "Eukaryotic small subunit ribosomal RNA", at positions 618 to 1046 of the family's 1831-position model. The record is from RNAcentral.